RNAcentral lists this non-coding RNA (88 nucleotides) under Actinotalea bogoriensis. RNAcentral's name for it is "Cellulomonas bogoriensis ZTP sequence". It matches the Rfam family "ZMP/ZTP riboswitch aptamer (pfl RNA motif)". Rfam says of the family: Previously known as pfl RNA. ZMP is also known as AICAR. The record is from RNAcentral. RNAcentral also lists the same sequence under 1 other name. Lineage: Bacteria; Bacillati; Actinomycetota; Actinomycetes; Micrococcales; Cellulomonadaceae.
GUGCCCGGCCGUGACUGGCGUAGGUGGAACCGACCACCGGGGAGCGGCCGUUCCUCCCUGCAGCGCACCGCCCGCCUGGGUGCCUGGG